ACAGCAGCUGCCCCUGCAAAUGUCAGCGCCAGCCCAGUCAAAAGAGCUUGAAACCUACCAAGCCGGAGGACUGUGCUGUGCCUCUCUCGCCCACAUUUUCCCCAAGCACUCUCAGGAACCUGGCAACAGUGUCCCCUUGUGGCCAAGCCUGGAACAUCACAUCUGUACGUUGCAAUCUGUGGAUCAGCUACGAGACUGAGAGAAAGGAAUGAAAGGAUGGAAGAAUUACAAGAUCAGGCACUGCUGUCUGUCUGUUCCACGGAUGUAACCACAGCACACGCGUGGCUCACGGUACUAGUGUGAUAAAUGCUUGUUACAUGAAGGCGUGAACAGGGAUGAGAAGAGACUUCCUGGAGAAACAAAAGGACUAACAAUCAGGAAGGGGAGGUGAUCGGGGCAGGAGUAAAGUGGACACCUCAGCAAAGCCAUUCGCUGUGAUCUCUGAUUGUGCAGUGUCAUGUCCUGUCACCAGAGCCCCCUCGUGUUUGAUGUUGGCCAAUGCCGCCAGCAUGAUCUAGCAGGCCAAAUCCUAAUCUACCAUUCUCUGACACCAGCUGGUCCCCUGGGUCGUCCACCCGAUGUCCCCCAUUCUCCCCACUUGGCCUCCCCCACAGGCUCUCGGCAAAGGACCGUGGGAGGCACCUGUGACACUGCCCUUUUCCUGUGCAGCUGUUUUUCUUCUUCAUUCUUUUCACUCCUCGUUACUCUUUUUUUUUUCACUCUCAGCCCACACAAAACUAGGAACUUUGUUAUUCUACUUAUUUUUCUGUACUCUGUCUGUUUGCACACAGAUGGAUAUCUGAGAGCCAGCGAACUUUCUUUACCUCCUAGUAUCAUUUCAUGAAAAUUAGUAGCACCUGCACAAUGGGGCCUUGGAGACAGGAAUAAAAGGAAAAAUCUGGAAUGGAAUCACAUGACGCAACAGGCUAUGAAGACUCCCUGCCCGGCUGCUAUAUGUCUGGCUUGCUGGACUUUGGAGAAAAGGCUGACCCUCCCCCAAAGCAGCCCAUUGC
This 1013-nucleotide long non-coding RNA is filed under the name Homo sapiens (human). RNAcentral's name for it is "HSALNT0392553". The record is from RNAcentral. Lineage: Eukaryota; Metazoa; Chordata; Mammalia; Primates; Hominidae.